Molecule: ribosomal RNA, 389 nt
Filed under: uncultured bacterium
Lineage: Bacteria
Description: bacterial SSU rRNA
Rfam family: Bacterial small subunit ribosomal RNA
Source: RNAcentral
GACGAACGCUGGCGGCGUGCUUAACACAUGCAAGUCGAGCGGUAAGGCCCUUUCGGGGGUACACGAGCGGCGAACGGGUGAGUAACACGUGGGUGACCUGCCCUCAGCUCUGGGAUAAGCCUGGGGAAACUGGGUCUAAUACUGGAUAUGACUCCACGGUGCAUGUCGUGGGGUGGAAAGCCUUGUGCGGCUGAGGAUGGGCCCGCGGCCUAUCAGCUUGUUGGUGGGGUGANGGCCUACCAAGGCGACGACGGGUAGCCGGCCUGAGAGGGCGACCGGCCACACUGGGACUGAGACACGGCCCAGACUCCUACGGGAGGCAGCAGUGGGGAAUCUUGCGCAAUGGGCGAAAGCCUGACGCAGCGACGCCGCGUGAGGGAUGACGGCCU